RNAcentral lists this ribosomal RNA (571 nucleotides) under Talaromyces cf. pinophilus Fun118C. Its description in RNAcentral is "Penicillium cf. pinophilum Fun118C partial 18S ribosomal RNA". The stretch from base 234 to 387 matches the Rfam family "5.8S ribosomal RNA". Lineage: Eukaryota; Fungi; Ascomycota; Eurotiomycetes; Eurotiales; Trichocomaceae. The record is from RNAcentral.
UGGAAGUAAAAGUCGUAACAAGGUUUCCGUAGGUGAACCUGCGGAAGGAUCAUUACCGAGUGCGGGCCCUCGCGGCCCAACCUCCCACCCUUGUCUCUAUACACCUGUUGCUUUGGCGGGCCCACCGGGGCCACCUGGUCGCCGGGGGACGCACGUCUCCGGGCCCGCGCCCGCCGAAGCGCUCUGUGAACCCUGAUGAAGAUGGGCUGUCUGAGUACUGUGAAAAUUGUCAAAACUUUCAACAAUGGAUCUCUUGGUUCCGGCAUCGAUGAAGAACGCAGCGAAAUGCGAUAAGUAAUGUGAAUUGCAGAAUUCCGUGAAUCAUCGAAUCUUUGAACGCACAUUGCGCCCCCUGGCAUUCCGGGGGGCAUGCCUGUCCGAGCGUCAUUUCUGCCCUCAAGCACGGCUUGUGUGUUGGGUGUGGUCCCCCCGGGGACCUGCCCGAAAGGCAGCGGCGACGUCCGUCUGGUCCUCGAGCGUAUGGGGCUCUGUCACUCGCUCGGGAAGGACCUGCGGGGGUAGGUCACCACCAUGUUUUUACCACGGUGAAAUCGGAUCAGGAGAGUACCCG